GGGAACCCCCAGGUUUUGUCUUCUCCUUGGGACAUGUAUCUUCCCCUCCCCUAUGGGUCCUGGAGUAAGACUGGAGUGGGCAGGGAGCCCCACUGCCACCUCCAGCUGCAGCGGUCGAUGAAGUCUGGCGUUUGUUUAGCUUCUCCACUCAAUACUCUAAUCCUGCCAAAGACCUAAUAGACUAUUGAGCAGUCCCGGGGGAGGGCACAAGCAUCAUCCAGCAGUGUGUGUUGUGUUUUACAGCCGUUCCUGAGCAUGCUGCCCGCCUGCAGCGCUUGGCCCAGAUCCACAUUCAGCAGCAGGACCAGUGUGUGGAGAUCACUGAGGAGUCCAAGGCUCUCCUGGAGGAAUACAACAAGACUACAAUGCUUCUCUCCAAGCAAUUCGUGCAGUGGGAUGAGCUACUUUGCCAGCUAGAGGCCGCCACGCAAGUGAAGCCAGCAGAGGAGUGAUAGCUGCUCCCCAUCCCAAAGUGGGCCUGGGCAGUCAGGCUCCAGGGCCCUAUGCCAACCUGCCUUUGUUACAAGGCAGAGGAAGCUUUGUAUUUAUUGGCUUCAAGGCCCACCUCUCUGUACUCUGGGCUCUAAAGUUGGAGGUCAGGUUACCUGAGGUUUGCAAUUUGCAACACCCACCCUCCCCCCAAUCAGUGUUCUUAUUUCAGUGACAAUAAACCAUAGAGAUGACUGGA
RNAcentral lists this small RNA (688 nucleotides) under Pan troglodytes (chimpanzee). Its description in RNAcentral is "processed transcript". The record is from RNAcentral. Lineage: Eukaryota; Metazoa; Chordata; Mammalia; Primates; Hominidae.